Molecule: long non-coding RNA, 222 nt
Filed under: Geospiza fortis (medium ground-finch)
Lineage: Eukaryota; Metazoa; Chordata; Aves; Passeriformes; Thraupidae
Description: lncRNA (ENSGFOG00000009949.1)
Source: RNAcentral
GUUUACAAUCCUGAAAAUGUCACUUUCAACUUUCUUCAAAGGCAGAGAUUUUCCCUCUUUCAGAAGGCCAGCUUUUUUGAAAGACAGAAGUGGAAGUUUUGAUAAGAAGUGAUCCAUGUGGUGCUGAUUUGCCAUGAAUAAUUCUGUGUAUAUGGUUGAUGGUGAUUCUGAUGAGGAAAUCUCUACCCAGCAAGCUAUUCAGGAAAGCUUACAAGAUUGGCA